RNAcentral lists this ribosomal RNA (305 nucleotides) under uncultured bacterium. RNAcentral describes it as "bacterial SSU rRNA". It matches the Rfam family "Bacterial small subunit ribosomal RNA", at positions 333 to 653 of the family's 1533-position model. The record is from RNAcentral.
GGGCCCCUACGGGGCGCAGCAGUGGGGAAUAUUGGGCAAUGGGCGCAAGCCUGACCCAGCAACGCCGCGUGAAGGAAGAAGGCUUUCGGGUUGUAAACUUCUUUUGACAGGGAAGAGCAGAAGACGGUACCUGUCGAAUAAGCCACGGCUAACUACGUGCCAGCAGCCGCGGUAAUACGUAGGUGGCAAGCGUUGUCCGGAUUUACUGGGUGUAAAGGGCGUGUAGCCGGGCUGACAAGUCAGAUGUGAAAUCCGGGGGCUUAACCCCCGAACUGCAUUUGCAACCGUUGGUCUUGAGUAUCGGC